Molecule: ribosomal RNA, 217 nt
Filed under: uncultured Alicycliphilus sp.
Lineage: Bacteria; Pseudomonadati; Pseudomonadota; Betaproteobacteria; Burkholderiales; Comamonadaceae
Description: partial 16S ribosomal RNA
Rfam family: Bacterial small subunit ribosomal RNA
Source: RNAcentral
GGAGGAAGGUGGGGAUGACGUCAAGUCCUCAUGGCCCUUAUAGGUGGGGCUACACACGUCAUACAAUGGCCGUGACAAGGGUUGCCAACCCGCGAGGGGGAGCCAAUCCCACAAAGCCGGUCGUAGUCCGGAUCGCAGUCUGCAACUCGACUGCGUGAAGUCGGAAUCGCUAGUAAUCGCGGAUCAGCAUGUCGCGGUGAAUACGUUCCCGGGUCUU